CUCCUUCUUAAAAAAACUCAAGAACUACUUUUUCUUUUUCCUUUCAUUCCUUUUAAAAGAAACUAAAGAACAGAGAGUUAAUCUCUUCAUGUGCGAUAAGAUCAUACAAAACAAAAAACAAAGAUAAAGAUUUAGAGAUGGAAGACAAUGUUGAGAUUGAGAUUGAGAUUGAGAGAAGAGAAGACGCAACAGCAACUCCAACUCCAACUCGAUGUUUUUGUUGGUGACAGAGGAUGGAAGCACUACUAGAGGCGUCAGUUAUGGUCACCCCUAAGGUGGCAGUGGUAGACGUAUUUGCUUAUGGUGAUUAGAUUUGUACAAUGUUAUACCAUUAAAGCCUUCCUCUUAUCCGGUUUAGUUAGAUUCUUAAGGUAUUUCUCUAAACCUAAGUCAAGAAUUAAUUUUAAUGGAUUUAGUUACAUACACUUUAUGAAGAUUGACUCUUGAAAUUGAAUCUAAAACUGUUAAAUGCAUGUUGGAAUUAAGUUGGAUUUGUGAAAUGCUCCAAGAAAUAAAUUAAAAGCAUUAGGGACAUGCUUAAUGCUUGUGAAUACAGUUUUUGAUAAAUUGGUAUUGAAUAAAUUUGAAUUAUUAAUAUUCUUAGUUAUUGAAUAAAUUGAAAUAAUUGUUAUUCUUAACAUAUGUAAAAUAAAAAUACUUGAAUGAGUGGUUGAAAGUGAACUUGGAAACUAAAAAAUGGUCUACAACGACGCACCAAAUAAUUUAUGUGUUUAAAAGACAUUUAUUGAUAAUGAUUCGAAGCAGAUGAAGCAGAAGAGGGUGAUGUAAGGGACAACAAGAGUAGAUAGACAGUGGAGUGGCGGGAGUUAUAUUGAAGGAAAUCCGGCCUAGAACAGGACCCGGCCCGGGUCGGAUACUGUCAUAAGAUGGUCUCUGAAUUUAUAUGUAUAUAUAAUUGAUAAACAUUUAAAUAAUAAUCUGUAAGUUAAUUAAUACUAAAAGAUAUAACUAAUUUAAUUAUUUAUAAUUGAUAAAUAUCUAUUAUACUGUUAAGAAUAAUAUAGUUAGAGAAAUUGAGUAAAUUAACAAAAUGCUAUGGGUAAGUAUAAGAAAUUAACCACUUGAUUAUCAUUUUUGUAAAAUGACUAUCUACUUUGGAAUGGUCCAUUACAGAGUAAGUUAUCCAGCCCAGGCGACCAACCCAUUUUGUAUAGUGUUUCGGAAUGAAUGUUCACUACAUAUGAGAUUCUAGAAUAUAAGCUGAAAUAUCUUUAUAUUUCAGAUUAAGUAUGGAAAGAAGAAAUGACAUUUGAUUCCAAUGAGUUUGAAGUUUUACAGUUCAUUUACAUCUACUUAUUGAUUUUUUCUAGUUUAACUGAGCACCCUAAAUCUGAAACAUGAAUAAUAUGUUGGGAAUGCAAAUAUCAGGAAUUUCUUAUUAAUCGAUACAAAGUGUCUUAGAUAGGUAGUUAUUUAGUCUUAAUAGCGACCCAAAAUAUUAGAUAAGUAGUUAGGUUAACAAUAGUAACCUACUAGUAAUUUCAGAAUGAUUUUUGUUUUCCAGAAUACAAAGAACAAUUAUGGAAUACAAUGAACUAAUCUGAAUAUGAAUAAACAGUCUUAGUAAUGACCCAAAAGAUUGGAUAAGUAGUUUUUUUAAAACAGCAAAUCUAAUUUACCCAUAAACUCCUCCUAAUUUCACUUAUGUCCAAAACGGGACUUAUACAUCGACCGCAAGUAAGAAGGGUAACACCUAAUAUUGCUAGGUUAGAAACUGUUUGGAAGAAACUCAAUGAUUUAGUGUUGAACCAUUUAGAUUUUAUGAUGCAUGAACCAUUAUGAAGCUUGAAUCAUUCAUGUGGAUACUUGUUGAACGGAUAUUUUGAAUGAAAAAAUUAUCAUUUUACCCUUCCAACAAAAACAACUUCAACUGCAUAUAAAAUAGGAUAGUAAAAAAUACAUUUUUUAAAGGCACAAAUAUUUAACAACAAACUAAUGUAAUAAAUAUAUUAGUAAUUAGAAAAAGAAAAUUAGUUAACGGGGAUGUUAUUAGGGGUGAGAAUUUGGUUAGAUGGACCGGUACCAAUUUUAUGUAUUUGGGCCGGAUUUCGGUUCUUGGAUUGUCAAUUUGGCAGUUCCAAUUGUACUAUACGUAAUAAAUAAUGGACCCGACCGGUUGAAUGCAAUGAAUGUUGUACACAUCCAAGAACCAGAAAAACGGUCCAAAUGCACACGCUAGGUGUAAAGCCAUUUGUUUUGUGCCUAGGUACAAACUAAACGAAAGUGAAACCAAGAGAAGAGAAUGAAUUUUUUUUACAAGCUUUAUAUCCAUAUGAUUUUCACCAGAAACACAACACAACACAACACAGACACAGACCCAGUUCCAACUUCAUCACUGUUCUAAUUUUCUACAUAUCUCCCUCUCCUUCUACGUAAAUGGCAACACUUCCAUUCCCAUCAACAACAUCCUCAAGAGGCCUUUUUUUUAGCAGAAAAGCUCUUGCCUCUCAACAUAAAAUAGUAAUAGUAAUAAUAAUAAUAAUACAAAAGGCUUUCUUACACUCUCUACUAUUAUAAAGAUGAAGAUCGUGUGUUCUUCUUCAGUGUAUAAAAACUUAACUCUGUAGUAAACCUAUGUUGACUGACCUGAACUUGAAGACGACUGCUUUGACUUACUCCCGUUUUCUUCACCACUCAGCAAAUGUGGUGGAGCCAAGUUGAACCCGUUUUCCUUGAUGGACCCAAACGGGUCCUCUUUCUGUUUUUGGAAAGCUUCUAUUCGUUUUAAAGAUGGAACGUUUCCGUUACAGUAGCCUCGCCACAUGUCCCGGUAAGCAGAUUCCAAUCCGGUGAUGAAUUUGGAUCCGUUGCAGAGAGGGGAAUUGGCCAUGAGAUUCCGGAGGUCCAUUCUCAGGUUUGAGAGUGCGGUGAUGUUUGAAGCUAACUCCAGUGCUGACCGGAUAUAUUCUUCUUCGUUUUUUGCAACAAGGUGUUUUAAGCCUGGAAUUACAAAGUAAAAUCAAAUUUACUAAUAUAUAAAUCAACUCUUAGUCUUAGCUUACUUAGGUAGGCCAUAAUCGAAAAGGAAUGGAAUGGAGUACUCCUAAUGUGAAUCUUUUUUCAUUCUGGAAUGGAAUAGUAUAUUAUAGAGUAAAUCACAUUUUUGAUCCCUGAGUAUAGCUGUUUUCAGUUUUGGUCCUAAAAAUCGUACUCUCGCAAUUUUGGUCCAUGUUCCAAGUAAAAUUACUGUUUUCAAGACCAAAAUUGCAAUAGUCACUGAUACGCAAGGACUAAGAAUGGUCAUUUUACUUGGAACAGAGAACAAAAAUGUUACCAAAACUUGUUGAAACCAAAAUUGAAUAAAAUUAGCUUAUAAUAGACUCUAUAUCACAUCUAUAAUCUAUUUAAUUUUUUUUAUUCAAGUGAUAAGUACACUUUUUUCAGAUGACAAGAAAUAUAGUUAUCUACAAUUUGUUUAACGUAAUAUAAUUAUUUAUUACCUUGUUCAUUCCAUAUUUCCAUUCCAACAAUCACAGGGAAAUAAAUGUGAAGUGGAAAAAUAAAAGAUUGAAGAGGUCUUACCAACUGCAUUUAAAAGACUGACACCAACAUUAUGC
This 3578-nucleotide long non-coding RNA is filed under the name Lactuca sativa (garden lettuce). RNAcentral describes it as "long non-coding RNA (LSAT_LNC008259)". Lineage: Eukaryota; Viridiplantae; Streptophyta; Magnoliopsida; Asterales; Asteraceae. The record is from RNAcentral.